AUGGGCGUGUACCUCAAGAAACCCUAUGGAAACAGAGCAAAAACGCCAAAUUUCCUGAGCUCCAGAAUUUUGGCGGUACAACCUAAUAUGGUGAACACCAUGUUUAAGACCCCACAUCAUUUUACUCCUAAAGAGGCACAUGCUUUCCUCGAUGACUAUAAGAAUAUUGUUUGGAACCCCUAUUCUCUCACUAUGGAAGGUGUGUUCAAACCCAAGAGGGCUUUCUUAAUUUCUAUUUGUCGAGGCAUGCUGCCGUGGAGGCGUGGUACUAUCACCGCCGAUGUGUGUAUAGCUGAACCAUAUCACCCAGAUCGAGUGGCACGACAGUUUCGUCUUGACCAAGUUGUACCCUUUUCUCCUCUAGCGGGCAUGUAUACUCAAGACAAAAUUGGAAUUGCCUAUGCUUUUGGUCACACCUAUUAUCCUUGA
This 429-nucleotide ribosomal RNA is filed under the name Triticum aestivum (bread wheat). RNAcentral's name for it is "partial small subunit ribosomal RNA". Lineage: Eukaryota; Viridiplantae; Streptophyta; Magnoliopsida; Poales; Poaceae. The record is from RNAcentral.